This 445-nucleotide ribosomal RNA is filed under the name uncultured bacterium. RNAcentral's name for it is "bacterial SSU rRNA". It matches the Rfam family "Bacterial small subunit ribosomal RNA", at positions 354 to 796 of the family's 1533-position model. The record is from RNAcentral.
GUAAGGAAUAUUGGUCAAUGGGGGGAACCCUGAACCAGCCAUGCCGCGUGCAGGAUGACUGCCCUAUGGGUUGUAAACUGCUUUUAUCGGGGAAUAAUUGUCACUACGUGUAGUGAUUUGAAUGUACCCGAGGAAUAAGGAUCGGCUAACUCCGUGCCAGCAGCCGCGGUAAUACGGAGGAUCCAAGCGUUAUCCGGAAUUAUUGGGUUUAAAGGGUGCGUAGGCGGCAUUUUAAGUCAGGGGUGAAAUACGGCAGCUCAACUGUCGCAGUGCCUUUGAUACUGAAGUGCUUGAAUUCGGAUGAAGACGGCGGAAUGAGACAAGUAGCGGUGAAAUGCAUAGAUAUGUCUCAGAACACCAAUUGCGAAGGCAGCUGUCUAAGCCGACAUUGACGCUGAUGCACGAAAGCGUGGGUAUCGAACAGGAUUAGAAACCCCUGUAGUCC